CAGAAUUCACCACCGGGUGAUGCAGCGUUUAUCGUACUCCAUAGGUCUUAGCGGAGUGCGGUAGGCGCUGUUUUAUUUU
Molecule: non-coding RNA, 79 nt
Filed under: unclassified sequences
Source: RNAcentral